RNAcentral lists this ribosomal RNA (449 nucleotides) under uncultured bacterium. Its description in RNAcentral is "partial 16S ribosomal RNA". It matches the Rfam family "Bacterial small subunit ribosomal RNA", at positions 29 to 523 of the family's 1533-position model. The record is from RNAcentral.
AAUGAACGCUGGCGGCAGGCCUAACACAUGCAAGUCGAACGGAUCCUUCGGGAUUAGUGGCGGACGGGUGAGUAACGCGUGGGAACAUACCCUUUGGUACGGAAUAGCCUCGGGAAACUGGGAGUAAUACCGUAUGUGGUCGAGAGACGAAAGAUUUAUCGCCAAAGGAUUGGCCCGCGUUGGGUUAGGUAGUUGGUGGGGUAAUGGCCUACCAAGCCGACGAUCCAUAGCUGGUUUGAGAGGAUGAUCAGCCACACUGGGACUGAGACAAGGCCCAGACUCCUACGGGAGGCAGCAGUGGGGAAUUUUAGACAAUGGGGGAAACCCUGAUCUAGCCAUGCCGCGUGAUCGAUGAAGGCCUUAGGGUUGUAAAGAUCUUUCAGGUGGGAAGAUAAUGACUGUACCACCAGAAGAAGCCCCGGCUAACUCCGUGCCAGCCGCCGCCGUAA